AGCAGCCGCGGUAAUUCCAGCUCCAAUAGCGUAUAUUAAAGUUGUUGCAGUUAAAAAGCUCGUAGUUGAAUUUCGGGGUCUGUCCGUCGGUCGGGCUUCACGGUCCGUACUGGUGUGAUGGGUUCCUACCUUCUGAAUAACCGGCAUGCCAUUCAGUUGGUGCGCCGGGGAAGCAGAGCUAUUACCUUGAAAAAAUUAGAGUGCUUAAAGCAGGCUAGUGCUUGAAUAGAUUAGCAUGGAAUAAUAAAAUAGGACGGCAUGGUUCUAUUCUGUUGGUUUCUAGGAUCACCGUAAUGAUUAAUAGGGAUAGUUGGGGGCAUUAGUAUUCAAUUGUCAGAGGUGAAAUUCUUGGAUUUAUUGAAGACUAACUUCUGCGAAAGCAUUUGCCAAGGAUGUUUUCAUUAAUCAAGAACGAAAGUUAGGGGAUCGAAGACGAUCAGAUACCGUCGUAGUCUUAACCAUAAACUAUGCCGACUAGGGAUCGGACGAUGUUAAUUUUUUAAUGACUCGUUCGGCGCCUUACGGGAAAAAGCCGA
This 536-nucleotide ribosomal RNA is filed under the name uncultured Acaulospora. RNAcentral describes it as "SSU rRNA". It matches the Rfam family "Eukaryotic small subunit ribosomal RNA", at positions 569 to 1101 of the family's 1831-position model. Lineage: Eukaryota; Fungi; Glomeromycota; Glomeromycetes; Diversisporales; Acaulosporaceae. The record is from RNAcentral.